Heterocephalus glaber (naked mole-rat) is the source of this 221-nucleotide small nucleolar RNA. Its record names the gene U3. It matches the Rfam family "Small nucleolar RNA U3". From Rfam's summary of the family: Small nucleolar RNAs (snoRNAs) are involved in the processing and modification of rRNA in the nucleolus. There are two main classes of snoRNAs: the box C/D class, and the box H/ACA class. The record is from Ensembl. Lineage: Eukaryota; Metazoa; Chordata; Mammalia; Rodentia; Bathyergidae.
AAGACUGUACAUUCAGGGAUCAUUUCUAUAGUUCAUUACUAAAGAAGUUUCACUGAUCGUGUAGAGUACCAGAAGCCACGAGGAGGAGAAGGCAUAGUGUUCCUUUCUGAGCAUGAAACUGGCUCUUGGGGUUGCUUUGCCGCAACUGCCAAUUGUCAGUGAUGAUUGUUCUCACUUCCUCCUUGGAGGAAAUAAGAGGCAGGGAAUGCAGUCUGAGUAGC